AUGGUUCAUGUAAAAAGCCGGAUGGAUUUACUCCUGCCACCUCACGGUCAACUAACUGCCGCAAUUGCCCCCUACAGACCCACCCUAUUAAGUUGUAGAUGCCCACGACUCAAUUGGCACCAAAGAUCUGCUCGAGGAUCGUCAGUUUCGUCCUCCGAUAAUCAUCAACCUUCACGGUGGUCAGAAUUUGAAGCCUCCAUUGCCGACGCCCAUUGCUUGCUGGUGAUGCACGUGUUGGCAAGAACACACCUGCAUCCCCGGUAUUGCCUCCCCACUCUGUACCAGGUUGGUGUUCCGUAA
Molecule: ribosomal RNA, 300 nt
Filed under: Triticum aestivum (bread wheat)
Lineage: Eukaryota; Viridiplantae; Streptophyta; Magnoliopsida; Poales; Poaceae
Description: partial small subunit ribosomal RNA
Source: RNAcentral